AUUCUGCCCAUGCGGGGAAGGAUGAGAAGCUUCGACCAAGGUUCGACUCGAGCGCCAGCGAGAGAGCGUUGCCGCAGGCAACGACCCGAA
Molecule: small RNA, 90 nt
Filed under: Escherichia coli
Lineage: Bacteria; Pseudomonadati; Pseudomonadota; Gammaproteobacteria; Enterobacterales; Enterobacteriaceae
Description: partial RtT sRNA
Rfam family: RtT RNA
About the family: This family represents a bacterial cis-regulatory element known as RtT RNA. The exact function of RtT is unknown although it is thought that it may be involved in changing the cellular response in relation to amino acid starvation.
Source: RNAcentral